RNAcentral lists this ribosomal RNA (158 nucleotides) under Polymyxa graminis. RNAcentral's name for it is "partial 18S ribosomal RNA". The stretch from base 1 to 103 matches the Rfam family "Eukaryotic small subunit ribosomal RNA", at positions 1728 to 1831 of the family's 1831-position model. Lineage: Eukaryota; Endomyxa; Phytomyxea; Plasmodiophorida; Plasmodiophoridae. The record is from RNAcentral.
CAGCAAUGGCCGGAGCGCGGUUGAACUUUUGUAAAUUUGGACGACUAGAGGAAGAAGAAGUCGUAACAAGGUUUCCGUAGGUGAACCUGCGGAAGGAUCAUUAGCGUUGAAUUGGUCUUGGUGCCAUGCGAAAAACAUGUGGAUUGUGGGCUAUGUGA